UUUGACCUCGAAUCAGGUAGGGAUACCCGCUGAACUUAAGCAUAUCAAUAAGCGGAGGAAAAGAAACCAACAGGGAUUGCCCUAGUAACGGCGAGUGAAGCGGCAAUA
This 108-nucleotide ribosomal RNA is filed under the name Dictyosporium strelitziae. RNAcentral's name for it is "partial 28S ribosomal RNA". It matches the Rfam family "Eukaryotic large subunit ribosomal RNA", at positions 1 to 106 of the family's 3401-position model. Lineage: Eukaryota; Fungi; Ascomycota; Dothideomycetes; Pleosporales; Dictyosporiaceae. The record is from RNAcentral.